RNAcentral lists this long non-coding RNA (344 nucleotides) under Arachis ipaensis. RNAcentral's name for it is "long non-coding RNA (AIPA_LNC001976)". The record is from RNAcentral. Lineage: Eukaryota; Viridiplantae; Streptophyta; Magnoliopsida; Fabales; Fabaceae.
CACACUGCCUCUUGAACCUCCUCCACCAACUGCAUCACUUCUAAAGCCUCAGCAUCCUCUUGAGUUAUCACCUCCACCAGACCAUCCCUAAAUCCCACAGAAGGAGACUUCUACUGAUGAUAUAGAUUCUUGUAGAAACCUCGGAUGGCGAUUUUUAUUCUUGCUUGAUUUCUGACCAACCUCCCAUUAAUUACCAAAGCAUCAAUCCUGUUGUUCCUCCUUCUUGUUGAAGCUAAAUUGUGGAAGUACCUGGUGUUUCUGUCCAUGUCUUUCGCAAGCCGGGAACGUGACAUUUGUUUCCAGUUCAAUUCUUUUCUCACAUACCACUUCUCACAGCAAGUCAC